ACACUGCGCAUUAAACAUUCAGAAUGUGUCCGCGCGCUACGAUAAAUAUUAUUUGAAAACAUUUUCUGGAAUUAUUAUAUUGAAUCCGUCGCUUGAAUAUUAUAGACUACCACCACUAUAUAGAUUGUGUGCAGACGUGACAAAAUGUGGUGUUUAUAAUCGAUUUCACUGGACAAUGCUGAGUGCAGUAUUUGUGUGAUUACUACCACGGCGACCCAAACGUGCGUUUUUUGUUUUCGUCUUAAGAACGUAUGGCGUAAAAAAUUUGCAUUUAGCAAACCAAUUGUGUACUGUUGGUUAUAAUGUUAAAAACUAGACUAACCUAUUAUCAAACUUAAAAGGAAAAACAUCAUUGUCUAUGUAUACACUUUGGAUUUUUUCGAAAUUUUAAUUUU
Cinara cedri is the source of this 395-nucleotide non-coding RNA. The record is from the annotation of a GenBank genome assembly. NCBI's taxonomy places the organism in Eukaryota, Metazoa, Arthropoda, Insecta, Hemiptera, Aphididae.